RNAcentral lists this ribosomal RNA (357 nucleotides) under uncultured Zavarzinella sp. Its description in RNAcentral is "bacterial SSU rRNA". It matches the Rfam family "Bacterial small subunit ribosomal RNA", at positions 1028 to 1382 of the family's 1533-position model. Lineage: Bacteria; Pseudomonadati; Planctomycetota; Planctomycetia; Gemmatales; Gemmataceae. The record is from RNAcentral.
GCAGAUACAGGUGCUGCAUGGCGUGUCGUCAGCUCGUGUCGUGAGAUGUCGGGUUAAGUCCCAUAACGAGCGAAACCUUACCCUUAGUUCGCUACGCGUCAUGGCGAGGACGUCUAGGGGGACUGCCGGUGUCAAACCGGAGGAAGGCGGGGAUGACGUCAAGUCCUCAUGGCCUUUACGUCUAGGGCUGCACACGUGCUACAAUGGCGUGAACAAAGGGAAGCAAAAGCGCGAGCUCAAGCAAAUCCCAAAAAACACGCCCCAGUUCAGAUCGAGGGCUGCAACUCGCCUGCAUGAAGCUGGAGUUGCUAGUAAACGCGCGUCAGCUAUAGUGCGUUGAAUACGUUCUCGGGCCUU